This 161-nucleotide small nuclear RNA is filed under the name Penaeus monodon (black tiger shrimp). Its description in RNAcentral is "U1 spliceosomal RNA". It matches the Rfam family "U1 spliceosomal RNA". Rfam says of the family: U1 is a small nuclear RNA (snRNA) component of the spliceosome (involved in pre-mRNA splicing). Its 5' end forms complementary base pairs with the 5' splice junction, thus defining the 5' donor site of an intron. There are significant differences in sequence and secondary structure between metazoan and yeast U1 snRNAs, the latter being much longer (568 nucleotides as compared to 164 nucleotides in human). Lineage: Eukaryota; Metazoa; Arthropoda; Malacostraca; Decapoda; Penaeidae. The record is from RNAcentral.
AUACUUACCUGGCAAGGAGAUACCGUGAUCACGAAGGCGGUUCUCCCAGGGCGAGGCUCACCAUUGCACCCCGGUGGCGCUGACCCUGCGAUUAACCCAAAUGUGGUUAACUCGAGUGCGCAAUUUUUGUUAGUGGGGGACUGCGUUCGCGCUAUCCCCCU